UACAGAGACUGCAAGCGUUAUUCGGAUUCACUGGGCGUAAAGGGUGCGUAGGCGGCUUUGUAAGUUAGAGGUGAAAGCCCGGAGCUCAACUCCGGAACUGCCUUUAAGACUGCAUCGCUAGAAUCAUGGAGAGGUGAGUGGAAUUCCGAGUGUAGAGGUGAAAUUCGUAGAUAUUCGGAAGAACACCAGUGGCGAAGGCGACUCACUGGACAUGUAUUGACGCUGAGGUGCGAAAGCGUGGGGAGCAAACAGG
RNAcentral lists this ribosomal RNA (253 nucleotides) under uncultured bacterium. RNAcentral describes it as "partial 16S ribosomal RNA". It matches the Rfam family "Bacterial small subunit ribosomal RNA", at positions 524 to 776 of the family's 1533-position model. The record is from RNAcentral.